UACGUAGGGGGCUAGCGUUGUCCGGAAUCAUUGGGCGUAAAGAGCGUGUAGGCGGCUCGGUAAGUCCGCUGUGAAAGUCCAGGGCUCAACCCUGGAAUGCCAGUGGAAACUGUCGAGCUAGAGUCCGGAAGAGGCGAGUGGAAUUCCUGGUGUAGCGGUGAAAUGCGCAGAUAUCAGGAGGAACACCAAUGGCGAAGGCAGCUCGCUGGGACGGUACUGACGCUGAGGCACGAAAGCCAAGGGAGCAAACAGG
Molecule: ribosomal RNA, 253 nt
Filed under: uncultured bacterium
Lineage: Bacteria
Description: partial 16S ribosomal RNA
Rfam family: Bacterial small subunit ribosomal RNA
Source: RNAcentral